AGAGUUUGAUCAUGGCUCAGGACGAACGCUGACGGUGUGCUUUAGGCAUGCAAGUCGAACGAGAAAGCCCUUCGGGGUGAGUAAAGUGGCGAACGGGUGAGUAACACGUGGGCAACCUGCCCCUCGCAGGGGGACAACCGGAGGAAACUCCGGCUAAUACCCCCGUACGCUUGUUGGAUCGCAUGGUCCGGCAAGGAAAGGUAGCUUCGGCCAUCCGGCGAGGGAUGGGCCCNNGUUGCAUUAGCUAGUUGGUGGGGUAACGGCCUACCAAGGCGACGAUGCGUAGCUGGCCUGAGAGGAUGAUCAGCCACACUGGGACUGAGACACGGCCCAGACUCCUACGGGAGGCAGCAGCCAGGAAUCUUGGGCAAUGGGCGAAAGCCUGACCCAGCAACACCGUGUGGGCGAUGAAGGCCUUAGGGUCGUAAAGCCCUGUUGAUAGGGACGAAGGGCGAAGGGUUAAUAGCCCCUAGCUUGACGGUACCUUUUGAGGAAGCCCCGGCUAACUACGUGCCAGCAGCCGCGGUAAUACGUAGGGGGCGAGCGUUGUCCGGAAUUAUUGGGCGUAAAGAGCGUGUAGGCGGUUCGGUAAGUCUGCUGUGAAAUCCUGGGGCUCAACCCUGGGCGUGCAGCGGAUACUGCCGGGCUAGAGGGUGGUAGAGGCGAGUGGAAUUCCGAGUGUAGCGGUGAAAUGCGCAGAUAUUCGGAGGAACACCAGUAGCGAAGGCGGCUCGCUGGGCCACACCUGACGCUGAGACGCGAAAGCGUGGGGAGCGAACAGGAUUAGAUACCCCCGUAGUCC
Molecule: ribosomal RNA, 802 nt
Filed under: uncultured Rubrobacter sp.
Lineage: Bacteria; Bacillati; Actinomycetota; Rubrobacteria; Rubrobacterales; Rubrobacteraceae
Description: bacterial SSU rRNA
Rfam family: Bacterial small subunit ribosomal RNA
Source: RNAcentral